GCCCGGGCUUUUCCACCGCUCCCAAUCCCAACAUAAUCCGCCCUCCCUACUUUUGAGUGCAGCCCAGCACACAGGGGACACUUCCCAAAACCGUUACUUCUUGUCAUUGUUAAGGAAAGGAUACAUGUAAGUUAUAACUACCACAAAAAUAAUAAUAAUAAUAAAAAGUAAAUGUAAUAUUUUUAAUUUUCUUUUCUUUGGAUGAAUAUGUUAUUGUGAUGUGGUAGAUGGACCCUGGCAACAUAAUUGGGUUUAAUUAUA
Molecule: long non-coding RNA, 261 nt
Filed under: Elaeis guineensis (African oil palm)
Lineage: Eukaryota; Viridiplantae; Streptophyta; Magnoliopsida; Arecales; Arecaceae
Description: long non-coding RNA (EGUI_LNC024789)
Source: RNAcentral